CAAAGAUUUAUCGGUAAAGGAUGGGGAUGCGUCCGAUUAGCUUGUUGGCGGGGUAACGGCCCACCAAGGCAUCGAUCGGUAGGGGUUCUGAGAGGAAGGUCCCCCACACUGGAACUGAGACACGGUCCAGACUCCUACGGGAGGCAGCAGUGAGGAAUAUUGGUCAAUGGCCGUAAAGCUGAACCAGCCAAGUAGCGUGAGGGAAGACUGCCCUAUGGGUUGUAAACCUCUUUUAUGCGGGGAUAAAGGUGUCCACGUGUGGAUGUUUGCAGGUACCGCAUGAAUAAGGACCGGCUAAUUCCGUGCCAGCAGCCGCGGUAAUACGGAAGGUCCGGGCGUUAUCCGGAUUUAUUGGGUUUAAAGGGAGCGUAGGCCGGUCUUUAAGCGUGCCGUGAAAUUUUGUGGCUCAACCAUGAGAGUGCGGCGCGAACUGGAGACCUUGAGUGCGCGGAAGGCAGGCGGAAUUCGUGGUGUAGCGGUGAAAUGCUUAGAUAUCACGAAGAACCCCGAUUGCGAAGGCAGCCUGCCGCAGCGUUACUGACGCUGAAGCUCGAAAGCGCGGGUAUCGAACAGGAUUAGAUACCCUGGUAGUCCGCGCGGUAAACGAUGGAUGCCCGCUGUCGGCGAUAUACAGUCG
This 637-nucleotide ribosomal RNA is filed under the name uncultured bacterium. Its description in RNAcentral is "bacterial SSU rRNA". It matches the Rfam family "Bacterial small subunit ribosomal RNA", at positions 202 to 839 of the family's 1533-position model. The record is from RNAcentral.